This 278-nucleotide long non-coding RNA is filed under the name Bos taurus (domestic cattle). Its description in RNAcentral is "long non-coding RNA NONBTAT025047". Lineage: Eukaryota; Metazoa; Chordata; Mammalia; Artiodactyla; Bovidae. The record is from RNAcentral.
CAUAUCUGUGAUUGAAAAUCACCUUACAGGAAUGCAUCAGUAAGAAAAUUUGUACUGAAUUGUUGACUACAAUAAGACUUUACAAUAAAUAUACCCAUCACUAGAGGAAUGAUUGACAAAUGCUAUGCUGUCAGUAACUGACAUCACUAUCAUCAAUAUCAUCUUUCUUACAAACUGUAAUAAACAGACAUAGAAGGAGAGCUGUAUUAUAUUGUCAAGUGCAAAAGGCCAGCUGCAACACAAAGAAAUAAUAAACUCUCACUGGGAAGAAAAGACUA